AAUGAACGCUGGCGGCGCGCCUAAUACAUGCAAGUCGAGCGAGAAGACGUAGCAAUACGUUUGUAAAGCGGCGAACGGGUGAGGAAUACAUGGGUAACCUACCCUUGAGUGGGGAAUAACUAGCCGAAAGGUUAGCUAAUACCGCGUACGCUUCCUGGACUUCGGUUCAGGGAGGAAAGCGAUGCCGAGGGUAUCGCGCUCUUGGAUGGGCUCAUGUCCUAUCAGCUUGUUGGGGGGUGAUGGCCUACCAAGGCGACGACGGGUAGCCGGCCUGAGAGGGCGACCGGCCACACUGGGACUGAGACACGGCCCAGACUCCUACGGGAGGCAGCAGUGGGGAAUCUUGCGCAAUGGGCGAAAGCCUGACGCAGCGACGCCGCGUGAGGGAUGACGGCCUGGUGU
This 402-nucleotide ribosomal RNA is filed under the name uncultured bacterium. RNAcentral describes it as "bacterial SSU rRNA". It matches the Rfam family "Bacterial small subunit ribosomal RNA", at positions 29 to 422 of the family's 1533-position model. The record is from RNAcentral.